CUUUGACCUACAAUUUUGCUUUUAAUAGAAUAACUGUAGAACUUGCUGAGACGAGCUCAACCAUACCCGGAAAAUUGUGUUACGACCACUAGAAGCCGAGAUAAUUGCGUUUUUUGAUUUUUUCAAAAUGUCCCAUAAAACCCGCAAUUUUGAAAAUUUUUUGAUAAAAAUUUAGGAAACUUGCCUUGGAACUAAGAUGAUCAAGUGGUGAAAAUCUCAUAUUGAUAUCUUCAACUUGGGGCGGGGUAUAUGAGAACAGAAAGAAUUGGACUAAAUUUAUAUUCCUAUUUGGGGACAGACCUAUAAAAAAUCCGGCGUAUGGGCGCAUGGGAUGUCACUCUACUGACUCUACCCCUAGAGGUUGUUUUAAAUUUCUUUGCCUAAAUUUUGUUUUUAUCAAGGCGCUCAAUUAUUUUUACGACCUGAGGCAAAACAAGUCAGGGUCAAUGAAAUGUUUAUCAAUCAAAUUAUAAUUUUCUAGAUGCAUCUAGAAAGUUCUCAAUGUAAAUCAAAUUGGUGGGUGGGCUUCAAAUGACCCUCCCAGGGCUGCAACCCGCACUAUAAAAAGCGCUCCGUCCGCUGGCCCAAGCAGAAAGGCUGACAGACCUCAGAGAAAUCAGAGGACACCUGGACCUCCUGGACACCCAUUGCAGUUUUAGACGCCCGUCUGAUCCCUUCGCACCCGUCCGAGCCGUCCCAUGGCUCCGACCGCUGUCCUGUCCCGACGCUGUCUCGUCCGAGAACAGCCGGAAGGCCGACCGCGUCCCGAGCCCCUCGAGCGACACACCUGUGUCCCUCGUACUGUCCAGGGUGCGGCUGAGCCGUCCGAAGCCGUUCAGAGCAGCUUUGCCAGCUCCUUAUUCCUGUCCGAGGAAUCGGGAGCCGACGUGGCACGCCGCCAGCGAGCGUUUGGACGAAGGCGUACGAAUAUCAGCCGCCAAAGACCAGCACGCCGUGGGCCCCGGCCGCGCCGAGAGCCGCCGCCGACCUGCAGGGAGCCGCCGGGUUCCCAGCAAGUGUUCACGGAGCCUGUGUUAGAAUGUAUGGACAUUAGAAGAAAUUCAACCAAUCAGCAGAAACAACUGAUACGAGGAUGACUCCAGACAGAUGUGGACAGCUUUGUGCCAUUGCAAUUGCAAAUGAGCUGUAUGAUGGGAUGGAUAUAUCCAUAUGGCAUUAUUUCCUGUGCUGCCAGUGGUUUACCUCGUUCUAUAUUUGCCAAACUUGGCUCGAUUGAUAUUUGGAUUUCUGGGGCCUCGUCGGCUGCAGAAACUGAGAGACUCCAAAGAGACUGUUCCCAGUCCUAACAAGAAUAGCACUUUUUCAUAAGAAAUUCUCAUUUCAUAAUAUUUUAAUCAAUCGCCAUUAUAAUUUUAAGUAUCUUGAUAUUAAGACAAGCA
Long non-coding RNA from Neocloeon triangulifer, 1400 nucleotides. RefSeq lists it as uncharacterized. The transcript has 3 exons. The record is from RefSeq and is a predicted model, not a curated record. Lineage: Eukaryota; Metazoa; Arthropoda; Insecta; Ephemeroptera; Baetidae.